Molecule: ribosomal RNA, 475 nt
Filed under: uncultured Desulfobulbus sp.
Lineage: Bacteria; Pseudomonadati; Thermodesulfobacteriota; Desulfobulbia; Desulfobulbales; Desulfobulbaceae
Description: bacterial SSU rRNA
Rfam family: Bacterial small subunit ribosomal RNA
Source: RNAcentral
CCCGCGACAAGCGGUGGAGUAUGUGGUUUAAUUCGAUGCAACGCGAAGAACCUUACCUGGUCUUGACAUCCCGGAGACCCUUAGGAAACCUAGGGGGUGCGUUUCCAUCUGGAAGAAUCUGGAGACAGGUGCUGCAUGGCUGUCGUCAGCUCGUGUCGUGAGAUGUUGGGUUAAGUCCCGGCAACCGAGCGCAACCCUUGCCUUUAGUUGCCAGCAGUUCGGCUGGGCACUCUAAAGGGACUGCCGGUGUUAAACCGGAGGAAGGUGGGGAUGACGUCAAGUCCUCAUGGCCUUUAUGACCAGGGCUACACACGUACUACAAUGGCCGAUACAAAGGGCAGCGACACUGCGAGGUGAAGCCAAUCCCGUAAAAUCGGUCUCAGUCCGGAUUGGAGUCUGCAACUCGACUCCAUGAAGCUGGAUUCGCUAGUAAUCGCGCAUCAGCCACGGCGCGGUGAAUACGUUCCCGGGCCUU